This 200-nucleotide ribosomal RNA is filed under the name uncultured bacterium. Its description in RNAcentral is "partial 16S ribosomal RNA". It matches the Rfam family "Bacterial small subunit ribosomal RNA", at positions 28 to 227 of the family's 1533-position model. The record is from RNAcentral.
GAUGAACGCUAGCGGCAGGCCUAAUACAUGCAAGUCGAGGGGCAGCACGGUAGCAAUACUGGUGGCGACCGGCAAACGGGUGCGGAACACGUACGCAACCUUCCUUUAAGUGGGGGAUAGCCCAUAGAAAUGUGGAUUAAUACCUCGUAAUAUUGUUGGUCGGCAUCGACUGACAAUUAUAGCUCCGGCGCUUAAAGAUG